CGGUGAAUACGUUCCCGGACCUUGUACACACCGCCCGUCAAGUCAUGGAAGCUGGGUGUACCUAAAGUCGAUAACCGCAAGGAGUCGCCUAGGGUAAAACUAGUAACUGGGGCU
Molecule: ribosomal RNA, 114 nt
Filed under: uncultured bacterium
Lineage: Bacteria
Description: partial 16S ribosomal RNA
Rfam family: Bacterial small subunit ribosomal RNA
Source: RNAcentral